RNAcentral lists this transfer RNA (87 nucleotides) under Candidatus Sumerlaeota bacterium. Its description in RNAcentral is "tRNA-Leu". It matches the Rfam family "tRNA". Rfam says of the family: Transfer RNA (tRNA) molecules are approximately 80 nucleotides in length. Lineage: Bacteria; Candidatus Sumerlaeota. The record is from RNAcentral.
GCCGAAGUGGCGGAACUGGCAGACGCGCACGAUUCAGGGUCGUGUGGGCUAACGCCCGUGGGGGUUCAAUUCCCCCCUUCGGCACCA